GCCCAGACUCCUACGGGAGGCAGCAGUGAGGAAUAUUGGUCAAUGGGCGAGAGCCUGAACCAGCCAAGUCGCGUGAGGGACGACGGCCCUACGGGUUGUAAACCUCUUUUGCCGGGGGACAAACGGCGGCACGCGUGCCGUCCUGAGGGUACCCGGAGAAAAAGCAUCGGCUAACUCCGUGCCAGCAGCCGCGGUAAUACGGAAGGUCCGGGCGUUAUCCGGAUUUAUUGGGUUUAAAGGGAGCGUAGGCCGGUCUUUAAGCGUGCCGUGAAAUUUUGUGGCUCAACCAUGAGAGUGCGGCGCGAACUGGAGACCUUGAGUGCGCGGAAGGCAGGCGGAAUUCGUGGUGUAGCGGUGAAAUGCUUAGAUAUCACGAAGAACCCCGAUUGCGAAGGCAGCCUGCCGCAGCGUUACUGACGCUGAAGCUCGAAAGCGCGGGUAUCGAACAGGAUUAGAUACCCCGGUAC
RNAcentral lists this ribosomal RNA (467 nucleotides) under uncultured bacterium. Its description in RNAcentral is "bacterial SSU rRNA". It matches the Rfam family "Bacterial small subunit ribosomal RNA", at positions 329 to 793 of the family's 1533-position model. The record is from RNAcentral.